GACAUCAAUCUGAAAGAAAGAAAGAAAGAAAGAAAGAAAAGUCUCUUAGCAAGUACAGAAGGACCAACUCUGCAGAGCCGGGCCUCCUCCUGGGAGAGGCUGAGAAUGGAGCAACGGGAGCUCCCACACAGCCAGCACCCCUGCCUUGAUCUCUGUGGUGGACCAGCUAGGAACUAUUGGGACUAGAGCACUGAGUUUCCAUUCUGCCGAGCAGAGUAUGCAUUCUUGAAGCCUACUCCAGCUGUCAGUGAGCGACAAGGAAGAGACUGGGUUAUGAGGCAAUACAUUUAAGUACCCUGAACUUUACUAAUAGGGAAAAGAAUAUUUCCAGCAAGUGAUUCUAAGUCUAAACCUUGGUGUAUGGAAAUAUUUGGCCAAGGACACAGCAGGGUUCAGAUAAUCCAAACGCUACAGAAAGAGCCAAAGGUUUCCAGCAAACUAAGGGACGAGACAUUCAGAAGGUCCCAAGCGCAUGCGUCGAGCCUCCAGAGUGACACAGCUGUUCCAAUGACUAAGGAGGCUGGGGGAGGAAGCUGCCAGCUAUUACUAGAUACACAGAUGUCAGUGUACAAAGGCACCAGAUGGACUUUAGCGAAGUACCUCAGACAGGGUCUCGUGAAAUCCAGCCUGGAUGGAAUGUGCUGUGAUAGAGACGGCAGUGUCCAGCAUGUGCUUGGGAGACUUUCACUGAAUUCAGUGUAAGUAUCUUUGGGAUUCAUUGUAUUAAAUGCAAAGUUUAUGUAUUAUUGUGGACCAGGAUUGUAUGUAACCUCUUGUAAAGAGUUCACUCAUAGCAGGAGCGCUGCCUCAUGGCCAGACAUGGCAUAGCAACUGUCUUCCCAUAUGGCACCCCAUAUGGCUGCCCUAUCGCUGCAGUGGUCUCUCUCCCCACAACUUGUCCCUCUGGACAAGUCAUGCUUUAGUCCACCCCUCCCAGGGUAAAAGAGCGUCUAAUGACCUUACAACAGGUCUUCUGUCUGCCUCUGGGCUCUUUAUACCCCUUACCUCAUGGGGUUUCACCCCACCUUUCUCAUUGGUUGGUAGGGGAACCCAGGCCUACCCUCUGCUCUGGGUUUCAGCCCAGGACCCGCUGGCUAGCAGCCAAGGGUCCCUCAGAGUCCUUGCUGCCCCCCCGGACCACUUCUUACCUCUUCUAUACUCCACUGAGUGACUGAAGACUCUCCCCCUGCAGCUCCUUUCUGCUGCAAAUUUCCUGGUUUUUUAAGCACCACCCAGCCCCUCCCCAGCUGUGCUCCAUCAUCAAUCAGGCCCACAUUAAUCCAUUCAGGGAUUGUGUGGAGUACACACCCCAUUGCACCUCCCUAGGGGGGAGAUAUGAUCUGAGGCCUGCAAGUUCAAAGGACUACCACUGAAAAUGUGCCAGACAAGAAUAGACUUUUGGACAAGAAUAGACAAUAAGCGUUAAGUGGGUUUCCUGUGGAGUACCUGGAAGGAGGGGGGAGGGUUCCUUGAUGCAAAUUCCCCACUUCUGAUUAUGCACAAACCCUGCCUUUUGAAACUAUGCCCUGAGAGACGGGUCUUUGUCUGCUGGUUACCUGUUCCCGAAGAUUAGAGAUCAAAGGCCCAAGCUGUAUAAAGAAACAGAUGAACUGCCCAGCUAGUCGUUCUGGUUCAGAAUUUGAGACAGUCAUUAACUUGCAGCCCUGUGGGUUUUGAAGGACUGAUGCCCACCAGAACUUGCAGCUGGAGACGGAGGACUGCCGUUGAGCAUUUAGAAUGUGUGAGGGUUUUUUAUUGUUUUCUCUGUAAUGCUUUCACCUUAAGAAUAAAUGUGCUUGCUUAGAAAGAUCUGUGUGGUGACUGGUGAUUGCUGGUAAUUA
Gopherus flavomarginatus (Mexican gopher tortoise) is the source of this 1841-nucleotide long non-coding RNA. RefSeq lists it as uncharacterized. Lineage: Eukaryota; Metazoa; Chordata; Testudines; Testudinidae. The record is from RefSeq and is a predicted model, not a curated record. The transcript is spliced from 3 exons.